Molecule: unclassified non-coding RNA, 362 nt
Filed under: Hevea brasiliensis (rubber tree)
Lineage: Eukaryota; Viridiplantae; Streptophyta; Magnoliopsida; Malpighiales; Euphorbiaceae
Source: RNAcentral
AAAGUCCUGUGCUUAAACCACUAGUCCUGCCAAUUUCACAUAUAAGAUAUAAUGUUGCAUGCGGUGGAGGAACAUUAUAUGAUAUUGGAUAUAGUCAAAUACAAGUAAUUUUAAGGUUGGAGCAGUUUCAUGGAUGAAAUAAUAGAAUUUUUAGAAAUUAGUCUUGUAUGAAAAGUGACAAAUGUAUGAAAAGUGACAAAUGUUUGAAGUUUUGGCUAUAUGAGGCACCAUCUCCGCUAAGCAAUGUCAUUCUGCCAUUUCAAUUUCUCUCUCAGUGAAAUUGAUCAUGUUUAAAAUGAAAACUUCAGCGGACAACAAUGAUGGAAUGGAACAAUUGUUUUAACUUAGCAAGUCUUAUGUAA